AACGCACAUUGCGCCCUUUGGUAUUCCGAAGGGCAUGCCUGUUCGAGCGUCAUUAUCACCCCUCAAGCCCCGUGCUUGGCGUUGGACGGCCGGUCGAGCGAUCGACCCCUCCGAAAGACAAUGACGGCGGCCUGUGGUUCCCCCGGUACACUGAGCUUUUUCACGGAGCACGUAUCGGACUAAGGGCGCCCGGGACCCGGUCUUCUCCUCUCACCAGGAAACUUCUAAGGUUGACCUCGGAUCAGGUAGGAAUACGCGCUGAACUUAA
Molecule: unclassified non-coding RNA, 268 nt
Filed under: uncultured Cladophialophora
Lineage: Eukaryota; Fungi; Ascomycota; Eurotiomycetes; Chaetothyriales; Herpotrichiellaceae
Description: sequence contains ITS2
Rfam family: 5.8S ribosomal RNA (bases 1-52)
Source: RNAcentral